GUACCGGGUACCUGUGACGCUGUGGCCGUUUUGUGUCAACAUGCAGUCUGUGCCCCAGCAACUGGAGCGCUGGACGGGCCGUCGAGGGCCUGCGUGCCCUUUGCUCCUUGGGGGGCACGGCGCUGGGACCCAGGAGGACCCGGCUUGAGUCCUGGACAUGCGGAUUUCUAGAGUCAGGCAGGGGAGGCAUCCGGCCUCUGGAAGGCUGGGCUUCAGAGCCGCCUCUCCCUCUGCCGACUGCCUGCCUGCCUGCCUGCCUGCCUGCCUGCCUGCCUGUGCCAAGAAGCCUACCCGAAUCGAGGGAAGAGAGAACGAUGCCGGGAGCGCCUUAACUUCACGCCGGGCGCAAGGCGGAAGGGGGCCGAUUGGUUGACAGCCGGCUGCCUUGCCUUAAGGAGCAGGGCGUCUGAUGUCAAGCCGCCUCUCCCUCUGCCGACUGCCUGCCUGCCUGCCUGCCUGCCUGCCUGCCUGUGCCAAGAAGCCUACCCGAAUCGAGGGAAGAGAGAACGAUGCCCGGGAGCGCCUUAACUUCACGCCGGGCGCAAGGGCGGAAGGGGGCCGAUUGGUUGACAGCCGGCUGCCUUGCCUUAAGAAGCAGGGCGUCUGAUGUCAGUGAGUGGGGCGGUUUCGUUGGGGGCGAGAGGCCUGGCCGACCUUGCGAGGGUCUUCCCA
Molecule: long non-coding RNA, 672 nt
Filed under: Sus scrofa (pig)
Lineage: Eukaryota; Metazoa; Chordata; Mammalia; Artiodactyla; Suidae
Description: lncRNA (ENSSSCG00070007440.1)
Source: RNAcentral